This 292-nucleotide ribosomal RNA is filed under the name uncultured bacterium. Its description in RNAcentral is "partial 16S ribosomal RNA". It matches the Rfam family "Bacterial small subunit ribosomal RNA", at positions 505 to 796 of the family's 1533-position model. The record is from RNAcentral.
GUGUCAGCAGCCGCGGUAAUACGGAGGGUGCAAACGUUGCUCGGAAUCAUUGGGCGUAAAGCGCGUGUAGGCGGCUUGUUAAGUCGGGUGUGAAAGCCCUGGGCUCAACCCAGGAAGUGCGCCCGAAACUGGCGAGCUAGAGUACGGGAGAGGGUAGUGGAAUUCCCGGUGUAGAGGUGAAAUUCGUAGAUAUCGGGAGGAACACCAGUGGCGAAGGCGGCUACCUGGACCGAUACUGACGCUGAGACGCGAAAGCGUGGGUAGCAAACAGGAUUAGAAACCCCAGUAGUCC